This 792-nucleotide long non-coding RNA is filed under the name Numida meleagris (helmeted guineafowl). RNAcentral describes it as "lncRNA (ENSNMEG00000002742.1)". Lineage: Eukaryota; Metazoa; Chordata; Aves; Galliformes; Numididae. The record is from RNAcentral.
AUGGUGGUGCCAGUGGUGCUGGUUCCGGUUGCAGUUCCGGUUCUGGUGCCAGUUCCGGUGCUGGUUCUGGUUCCAGUGCCAGUUCUGGUUCCGGUGCCAGUUCCGGUGUCAACGUCACAGUGGUGCCAGUUCCGGUUCUGGUUCCAGUUCCAGUUCCGGUGUCAGCAUCACAGAGGUGCCAGUGGUGCCUGUUCCGGUUCUGGUUCUGGUUCCGGUGCCAGUUCCAGUUCCGGUUCUGGUGUCAGUGUCACAGAGGUGCCAGUGGUGUUGCUUCCAGUUCUGGUUCCGGUUCCGGUUCCAGUUCCAGUUCUGGUUCNGUUCCAGUUCUGGUUCCGGUGCCAGUGUCACGGUGGUGCCAGUGGUGCCAGUUCUGGUUCUGGUUCCAGUUCCAGCUCUGGUUCCAGUGUCAAUGUCAUGAUGGUGCCAGCAGUGCUGGUUCCGGUUCUGGUGUCAGUGUCACGGUGGUGCCAGUGGUGCCGGUUCCGGUUCUGGUUCCGGUUCCAGUUCCAGCUCUGGUUCCAGUUCCAGUUCCAGCUCUGGUUCCGGUUCCAGCUCUGGUUCCGGUUCCAGUUCCGGUUCCAGUUCCAGCUCUGGUUCCGGUUCCGGUUCCGGUUGCGGUUGUGCUCAGGCGUGCAGGCAGCGGUUGAAGGCGUUGUAGGCCGACUCGAGGUCGAAGAGCAGCUGCCGCACCUGGGCAUCGUCCAGCUCGUCCGACGCCGACACGGCGCUCAGCGUCUGCAGCUUCCAGCCCCGCAAACCCCACAAAGGCGCCCCUGACCCCAUAGGGACCCC